AACUUUCAGCAAUGGAUCACUUGGUUCUGGCAUCGAUGAAGAACGCAGCGAAAUGCGAUAAGUAAGGUGAAUUGCAGAAUUCAGUGAAUCAUCGAAUCUUUGAACGCACAUUGCGCCCCGUGGUAUUCCGCGGGGCAUGCCUGGUCGAGCGUCAUUUCAACCCAUCAAGCUUCGGCUUGGACUAGGGGCCUGCGGUUUCGCAGCCUCUAAACCCAGUGGCGGUGCUAUUGAGCUCUGAGCGUAGUAAUUUUUCUCGCUAUAGGGUCGCGGUAGUUACUUGCCAGAAACCCCCAAUUUUUAUCAGGUUGACCACGGCUCAGGUCGGGAUACCCGCUGAACUUAAGCAUAUCAAUAAGCGGAGGCU
Molecule: unclassified non-coding RNA, 364 nt
Filed under: uncultured Gyoerffyella
Lineage: Eukaryota; Fungi; Ascomycota
Description: sequence contains ITS2
Rfam family: 5.8S ribosomal RNA (bases 1-154)
Source: RNAcentral